UUCUGCCGUCACAGAGAAACCCUAAUGAGGUCCCGCAGCAACGCAGGCAUAUGCGGAAUCUCCCCGGGACAGGGUGCGAGGGGUUACUGGCAGAGAGAUCUGGUUCAGGUCCAGGACUCCUGCGCUGGCGGGCGCGGCGGGGUCCUUCUCCCUGCGGCUCCUCUGGCGUUGACGAGGAGGGAGUUCUUCGCCCUGAGGCGAUGUGCUGGGAAGGGCGGAAGCCUUCCGCGCUUUGUUCUUCGGUGCCUUGGGGAUCUUCCUAGGGCGGGCGCUCUUCCCCUUCAAGGGAGCAGGGGACGGGUCUGCUGUUAGGUAUUUGUAUCUUCUUCGCAGGAAUCUGAG
RNAcentral lists this long non-coding RNA (342 nucleotides) under Spirodela polyrhiza (greater duckweed). Its description in RNAcentral is "long non-coding RNA (SPOL_LNC002197)". The record is from RNAcentral. Lineage: Eukaryota; Viridiplantae; Streptophyta; Magnoliopsida; Alismatales; Araceae.